This is a long non-coding RNA of Pseudophryne corroboree (corroboree frog), 561 nucleotides long. RefSeq lists it as uncharacterized. The transcript has 5 exons. NCBI's taxonomy places the organism in Eukaryota, Metazoa, Chordata, Amphibia, Anura, Myobatrachidae. The record is from RefSeq and is a predicted model, not a curated record.
UUAGUCUUCAUUCCAAUAUUGGAUACCUAUGCAGGCAGACCUAUAGGACAACUGCUGGAAAAUUAAAGGGAUAUUUUUAUCCUAAGUUUACAAGUGGAUCCCUUCUGUUGGACUUCACUGAUACUUUGAAAAACUGAGGAAAUGCCAACCCAAUGAGCCAAGAAAAAUGAAUGAAAUAUAUAUCUACAUGCUGGAGAAGAAUAUAAUUCAUUAGGUGGCCUAUAAUAAGGAAUCCCAAUAAACGCUAUCAUAUUCUGGGAAUAAUUUUCUUCAAGUUUUUUUAACUUGGUAAUAAAUAUUUUUCAGUACAACUUAGGUUCAAUUAGAACUUCAUACCUUUUGAAUACUACAGUUAUUACAAUAUAAACGGAGAGCUGUUAUUUAGAAAACACCCCUGAAGAAGUCGAUAUAGACGAAACGCGUUGGAUGAAAGCUCAUUAUAUUGUUUUUUUCCUUAUACAAAUAAUGUUGAAAUAUACAAUUGUAUCUCCAAUGUAAAAGGAAAAGUUUUAUGAUCAGUUUUAAAUCAAAAUCUUUUAAUAAAGAGAUAUGUGAUUCUAA